RNAcentral lists this ribosomal RNA (477 nucleotides) under uncultured bacterium. RNAcentral describes it as "partial 16S ribosomal RNA". It matches the Rfam family "Bacterial small subunit ribosomal RNA", at positions 28 to 507 of the family's 1533-position model. The record is from RNAcentral.
GAUUAACGCUGGCGGCGUGCAUAACACAUGCAAGUCGAACGAUGAAACUUAAAUGAUUUCUUCGGAAUGAACUUAAGUGGAUUAGUGGCGGCCGGGUGAGUAACGCGUGAGUAACCUGCCUUACACAAGGGGAUAGCCGUUGGACACGACGAAUAAUACCCUAUGAAACUAUCACUUCGCAUGAAGCGAUAGUCAAAGUGUUAGCGGUGUAAGAUGGACUUGCGUCUGAUUAGCUAGUUGGUGAGAAAAAAGCCCACCAAGGCAACGAUCAGUAGCCGGCUUGAGAGAGUGUACGGCCACAUUGGGACUGAGGCACGGCCCAGACUCCUACGGGAGGCAGCAGUGGGGAAUUUUGCACAAUGGGGGAAACCCUGAUGCAGCGACGCCGCGUGAUUUAGAAGGCCUUCGGGUUGUAAAAAUCUUUUGUAUAGGAAGAAAAUGACAGUACUAUACGAAUAAGGUCCGGCUAAUUACGUG